Molecule: RNase P RNA, 319 nt
Filed under: Ignisphaera aggregans
Lineage: Archaea; Thermoproteati; Thermoproteota; Thermoprotei; Desulfurococcales; Desulfurococcaceae
Description: RNase P RNA component
Rfam family: Archaeal RNase P
About the family: Ribonuclease P (RNase P) is a ubiquitous endoribonuclease, found in archaea, bacteria and eukarya as well as chloroplasts and mitochondria. Its best characterised activity is the generation of mature 5'-ends of tRNAs by cleaving the 5'-leader elements of precursor-tRNAs.
Source: RNAcentral
CCCGGCCCGUCAUCCGCUACGGGGUGUAAUUACCCUGAGGAAGCACCGCCCUCCGUACGGCACCGGGGCCCCGCAAGGGGCCGGGGUAAUACCCCGGGCAACGGCACAGAAACGACACGUCCGCCAAUCAAUGAGGAUGAGGCGGUGAGGCUCCCCGGGUAACCGGGGAGCAGUAACCCGCUGACGAGGUUGGCGGGAGCGGUGAAACGGCCGUCCCCCGGGGAGCAAGGCCGAAAAGCACCGAUGAGAGCCGUACGAGGUGCGGGUAGGCCGCUUAGCCAAAUGCGGUUACACAGAAGGCGGGCUAUGACGGGCCGGG